Populus nigra (black poplar) is the source of this 1362-nucleotide long non-coding RNA. RefSeq lists it as uncharacterized. The transcript has 2 exons. The record is from RefSeq and is a predicted model, not a curated record. Lineage: Eukaryota; Viridiplantae; Streptophyta; Magnoliopsida; Malpighiales; Salicaceae.
AUUUUUUUUUCUUUCAUGUUUUAUUUAUAUCUCUUCUGAAAAAUAACCUUCUGAUAUAAUUUCUCUAGAUUUUUUCAACCUUUUAUUUUAUUUUUGAAUUAUUAAUAUUAUUAGUUAUUUCUGCAAUAAUAUAAAAUUUCUCAAACGCUGACACCACACUCCCUCUCACUUAGAAGGGCAGAAAAAUAAGUUGACUGAACUUUAUUAAUUACAUAGAUCUUGACUGUUCGUUCCAUCGUUUUUCAAGGGAGGCCAAAUAUAAAGGAUUUUACAGGACAUUAGGUCACUGAAUUGAAGACUUCUUUACACCGGAACCAACCAACCGCAUUUCUCAUCAUGAUUUAUUAAUUAUGGCCGGCACACCGUGAAGAGUUUUCAGGUGGUUAAUUUUUAGUCGGCGCCUCCUCUUUAAUUCCAUGUUUUGUGGUGUUCUUUAGUGUAUAUCACAUACGAUCGAAUGUGAUAUACACCCAUAAGAUAUUCAUACAUAAUUAUGUUUAUAGUAAGAGUGUAAUCUUUAGUUUAUGUUUUAAUUUAAAAAUAUAUAACGAUAAUUAUACUUAUUUUAAAAAUAAAUGUUGUGAUUAAAUACGAAAAUAUUUUGAAAAAGAUAUUAAUUAAUAAUGAAAGUUAAAUCAAAAUACAUAGCUUUCUUCUUUUUUGGGAUAAUUAAACAGAAAAUUCUCCAGCUUAAUCAUCUAUAAUCGGCACUGCUGAUUUCUCGAUCGUAUCCUUUUAAUUUAACAGAUAUCUCUAUAUACUCUUUUAAAAUUGCUACAGAAGCAAUAUAUAUGAUCUCUUCUUAAUUAGGAGUAAUCUCUAAUUACUUUACCGAGUUGCGCUGAGCCCUUGCAGAUAUGUUGACCGGUUAUCGAGAUGUCUGUACGUGGAGUACAAACGUUAUGGAAUCCAUGUGCAGUGUCAGGUGCCGCUAUAUGUAGCAACAAAAAUGACCUCAAAAGUAGCUUCGAUUGGGAGAUCGUCCUUGUUCAUACCAGCACCAGAAGAUUAUGCAAAGUCUGCGAUUGGUCGAAUAGGCUAUGAAGCUCGGUGCGCUCCCUACUGGGCUCACUCGUUUCAAUGGUGCUUUGCUUGGUUGCUUCCAGAGUGUGUUCUUGAUGCUUGGCGUCUCUCUGUUGGUAUCCACCGAAGAGAAAAGCUCAUUGCCUGAAUUCUUUUUGUUUUUCUCCGUAUCAGUCAGUGAAACAGCUACUGGGCGAGGGGUUUUGGAGGUUUUUAUUUCUAUUUAAGAUUAUGCAUCAAGAUUGUCAAAAAUAUGUUUUUAACACGACACGAAAUAUAUAAUAUAAACUCGGAUCAUAAACUCGAAUAAUAAAAUCGCAAGAACAAUAUUUUAACUAA